This 181-nucleotide small RNA is filed under the name Arabidopsis thaliana (thale cress). Its description in RNAcentral is "ATSL134200". The stretch from base 2 to 121 matches the Rfam family "small nucleolar RNA snoR130". Lineage: Eukaryota; Viridiplantae; Streptophyta; Magnoliopsida; Brassicales; Brassicaceae. The record is from RNAcentral.
UUCCCAGUGAUGAACAUUUUAGUAAUCUGGAACGGUGAUAAAAUGGGGCUCCCUCUUGGAUUAUUUCCGUGGAGGUUUUAGAGGAACCAUUGUUGAAGAUACUUGGCAACUUCUGAGGGUCUCUUCGCAAAAUGAAAUCUGUUAUUUUUCUUACUGUUUUGUUGGGAUUCUGAAACAUUGC